GACGAAUGCUGGCGGCGUGCUUAACACAUGCAAGUCGAACGAGUGGCGAACGGGUGAGUAAUACGUGAGUAACCUGCCCUCUUUUUGGGAUAAGCCUUGGAAACGGGGUGUAAUACCGGCAAAAGGGGGAUGGGCUCGCGGCCUGUCAGCUUGGUGGUGGGGUGAUGGCCUCCCAAGGCGGUGACGGGUAGCCGGCCUGAGAGGGUGACCGGGAACAGUGGGACGGGGAAGCGGCCCAGACGCCGAAGGGGGGGGGCAGAGGGGGAUAUUGCACAAUGGGCGAAGGCCUGAUGCAGCGACGCCGCGUGGGGGAUGAAGGUUGUCGGGUUGUAAACCUCUUGAGCAAUCGAACGGGUAGGUGGAGAAGAAGCGCCGGCUAACUACGUGCCAGCAGCCGCGGUAAUAC
This 406-nucleotide ribosomal RNA is filed under the name uncultured bacterium. RNAcentral's name for it is "partial 16S ribosomal RNA". It matches the Rfam family "Bacterial small subunit ribosomal RNA", at positions 28 to 526 of the family's 1533-position model. The record is from RNAcentral.